This is a regulatory RNA element of Clostridium sp. CAG:226, 182 nucleotides long. It matches the Rfam family "Lysine riboswitch aptamer". Rfam says of the family: Riboswitches are metabolite binding domains within certain messenger RNAs that serve as precision sensors for their corresponding targets. Allosteric rearrangement of mRNA structure is mediated by ligand binding, and this results in modulation of gene expression. This family includes riboswitches that sense lysine in a number of genes involved in lysine metabolism, including lysC. NCBI's taxonomy places the organism in Bacteria, Bacillati, Bacillota, Clostridia, Eubacteriales, Clostridiaceae. The record is from Rfam.
CGAAACGAUAGAGGCGCGGGAGCUGAGGUAAGCUGCGUAUGCUAAGGGCGGGAGACCCGAUGACGCAGGCGAAUGUGACUUCCGCCGAAAGCACGGCUGCCCAUCCCGGCGCCAUGCUUGGGCGCAGCGGCCAGCGCGCUGCGACUGUCAUCUUGUUUAUUGGAUGAAGAGCUAUCGAUGCG